Long non-coding RNA from Alligator sinensis (Chinese alligator), 2748 nucleotides. RefSeq lists it as uncharacterized. The transcript has 6 exons. Lineage: Eukaryota; Metazoa; Chordata; Crocodylia; Alligatoridae. The record is from RefSeq and is a predicted model, not a curated record.
CCUCCCCCGGAAGCAGCGGAGCCGGGAUACGGGCCAAUCGCGGGGUUUGGACGGGGAGGGCGAGGUCCGAAUCUGCGAAACAAGCCGUCUGUCGUACAGCUGGGCCGUGGGGGACGCGCGAGCGCUGCAGAGCUGUGAGCUGUUGCCGGAACCCCGCGGGCGAGGAGCGUCCCGAAGCGGUCCGUGCUCCAGCCUCUGGCUGUGGAGAGCUCUGGCGCUGGGGCUGGCGCUAAGGACCUGUCACAGAGACUGUGAACAGUGACGCCACUGCUUUGGCAGGGGAGUGCAGUCCCUGCCCAGAAGACUGGAUGUGGUACAGAAAUCAGUGUUAUUAUUUUUCCAGUGAAAUCCAAGACUGGAAGAACAGUGUGAAGGUCUGCCUCUCACACAAUGCUACACUUGCUGUGAUAAAAGAAAAAUCAGCGUUGGUGAGCAUGAGACAUCACUUUCUUUUCUUGCAGGGAUCUUCAUGGAUUACUUAUUUCUACCUAGUAUUUGUAGUUAAUAACCUCCCCACAAAUAGAUUAGGCAAAGGCAUUUCAGCAGGAAUAGGCAAUUCAGAUUUUCUAUAUUAGUGCAAGUGUCCAUCACACUGUAGAUGCUUCACAAAAGCAGGGAAAUACAGAUUCUUCACUAUAACAGGGUAGCCUGUGCCCCGCAAGAGUUUCAGCCAGCCAGUUGACCCAGAGUCCAGGUAUAGUUCAUGUAAAAACAAGGUACUCCAGGAAAGAUCAAUUUGGGAAAGCACCAGAGCCCAGUACUACUUCAGGCAGUGCUAGAAGGCCAGGGUCACUGGUUGAGCCAGAGCCAGGAAAAGAGCUGGGAGCAAGUCUUACUGGACAGGUGAUGGUACACAGGCAGAAGAAUACAGAAACUGGCAGCUGAGGAAGUGUGCCCCGAAGGCCAGCACAGUCCCAUAGAAAGGGAAUGCUGUGUAUCCCCUGGACCAAGUGGGGAAGAAUUCUGAGCUCUGGCUGAGGACUAGAAAAGCCCUGAGGGGAGAGACUCCUCAGCGAGGCUGGGGUUGGAAAAGACCUUCAGAUCUCUCCUUGGAGGAACAGGGGAGCCCAGCCCUGCCAGAAAGGGAUACUGGGAGUCUGAAGAGGGGUGGAGUGCAGGGCAGAAGGCUGGAGGAAAGGGAUAUUGAGGAGACUUAAUAGACCAAAUGCCAUAAGGUCAAAUGCUGUACUAAAUACUCCUGGCUGCAAGUAACUGGGAGAACAAAGAAGAGACUGAGACACAAUGACUGCAAUGCUCCUCGUGGCCAUCAGGAGACUGUCUACUCUAAUAAAAUAAAAGAAAGCUGCUGGAUAGGACUAAGGAAAGAGAGGGAUGGCAGUGUGUAGAUGGAUCGCCUUUCAUUAAUGACACAAUUUCCCUGGAAAAGGGGGGGGCAAAAUAUGACCUGCGCUUACCUAAAUAUGUGUGCUGCGGUUCCUGGAGACUGCAUGUCUUUGAGACAUUGGAUCUGUGUCAAGAAAUCCACCUGAGCUUUCCCAGUCAGCAGAGCACAGCUUGUUCAAAUUUGUUUCUCCUGCAAGAAACUCAAAACUACUAAAAAGUUCCCCACUUCAUGCCUGUUUUUGUUGCUAAAGACAAGUCUGAGGCCCAGCAGUAUCCUCCCUGGGAGGACACCUUUCUUGGUAACACAGGAACAAUCUUAGCAAUGGGCCACAUCACUACAUCAGAAGCAUUAAUGAUGAUGCUGGUACAGAACAGUGGGAAGAAACCAAAUGGAGAACUCCCAACUUUGCUUUCUAUUCCAUGGGCUUCAGCUGUAUUCUGGACUGUUAAAUGUCAGACUUGAACACUUUAAUACUUGGAAAAAGACUUGCUUCACAUGUUGAAAAGCAUCUAUUUUAGAUAAAAAGAAUUUAAGAUUUGUUUUAAAAAGUGUAAACCUUGAUGUUCCUAUGUUUAUGUUAAUGUUUUGUACUUUUUAUGUUAAAGGCCCAAGGUGGCUGUUUUGUGCUUUGUUUAUAUUCUGUUUUCUAGAUGUUAGAUUUGUUUUUCCUGCCAGGAACUCAAAACUACUAAAAUGUUCCCCACUUAAUGACUGUUUUUGCUGCUAAAGACAAGUCUGAGACUCAGUAGCAUAAUCCCUGGGAGGACUCCUUUCUUGGUAACACAAAAACAACCUUGUUUUGAAGCAGUAAUGCUUAUGCCAGGGUGAGGACAGAAGUUGAAAUAAAAAAAAAAAAAAAGUGUUUUAUUAUUUCAGCACAGGAGGUGGGUACAGCCUCUGCAGUCUGCUGCGCUGCUUCAAAAUUGCUCUUUAGCUGUGGUGUGCAACAGGUAGCUGCAGGCAGCAGAUCUUCUGGAGCUUCCUUCCCCUGCCAGAACUGGGAUGCCAUAGUGGCACCCCCUUCCUCUAGAAUUAGAGAGGUAGCCAGGGAUUGGGGACUGAAGAGCCAAAAUCCCAGCUCCAGCUUUUUCUCUGGCAGCAAGUGUUUGGGGGCUACACCCAGCCUCUACAUGCUACGGCUCCUGGUACUGAGGAGGACGUGGGGGGAGGGUAGUCGUAGCCAGAGGAAUGGAGGGGCUUACCUGCCUCCAGUGAUGGCAGCAGGGAGUGGGGGGAGGUUACCCAGCUCUAGCUGAAACUGUCUGCACUCUGCUCUUCUCCCUUCCCUCCUUGCGUUUAUGUGCAGGCGGGUAGAAUGAGUUGCUAGUGGACCUACGGGUCCCCAUCCCACUCUACACUGCAUGCAUGUAUGGAGCAGUGGUGCACUUUAAACAGGUGCCAUU